This 1391-nucleotide ribosomal RNA is filed under the name Triticum aestivum (bread wheat). RNAcentral's name for it is "partial small subunit ribosomal RNA". Lineage: Eukaryota; Viridiplantae; Streptophyta; Magnoliopsida; Poales; Poaceae. The record is from RNAcentral.
CAUUCGCUCGGGGUGCGCGCGUGUUUGGGCACGUGGAGCGUCUCCCCCGCGGGUGGGUGGUCAGCGGCGUCGAGCCUCUGGGGUGGGGUGCCAGGAGAGGCGGGCAGAUUUAUUAAGACGACGCCGCUGACGCUAAGGGGGGUUGGGGGGUCUGGGUGGCGGUGGGUGGUUUUGUGCCUGAGGAGAGCGAGCGAGCGAGCGGCGGCGGCCGACGACGAGGCGCGCCGGCAGCGGCCCGCACGAAGUCAGUCGAGCGCGGGGAGGAGCACUCGAGCUUUAUGGAGUUCUACAGCCUCGUAAGACUCUCGUUCCGACUUUUCGAGUACCCGUUGUAGUACCUAUGAUAACGACUGUCCGAGGGGUUCGUCUUCAGACUGUUAUAGUACUCGUUGUAGUACCUAUGGUAAAGACUGUUCGAGGGAUUCGUCUCCAGACCGGCAAAGCUAGGUCCGAGUCAGCGACUACACUUCUUGUUCUACAAACCAGCAGUCUCCAGGGAGGUACCUCAAAACCCACCGCCUUUCAGACGACUACACAACAAUACCUCCUUGUUCUUCUAUAGAAGGUCACAAAACCCAGAGCGUUGUCGAUAGACCCAAAAGAAGCUCACCGAACUAAUGGUGAAGAACUGUUAGUAAAGUAAACGGGAACAAUAACCUUACCACCAAGUCAAACAAACCAGGUUGAAGAGUUCCAGAAGACUUUAUGGGGCCCAAUUCAACGGUCUCCUGGACAAACACUUGUAACGACAACGGUAGCCACGGGUUCAUUUGUUCAAGGAACCAAAGGAAGUUCUACACAGAACACUUUCUUUGAACUUCGUAAAACAUAACCGUUAACAACCUAACACCCGACGAAGACAUCGACCCUCGACCAAGUUGAAGGACUGACAGUAAAUGUAACCCAAACAGACGCGCGUGUGCGAGGGACACGACAUGCUCUUCAUGCUCCUGGUCCAGCUGCUGAAGGAGAUGUCGUAGGACCCGGACGAGGCUCUCGUCAUGGUCUUUGAGCUGUCGCCGCAGGACUCGUCCUAUGGGAGGUUCUCCUUGUUCUUCUCGCUCAUCUAACUAAUCUAGUCUACCUGUGAGUACUAAAUAGCUCACUUUAGGGUCGAUAAUAAAUAAGACGGAUCAAACACACGACGUCUGGACAUCACACAGAGUUGACAGUACACUCUCUUACACACGAGUUCACGAAGGACUUGCCUUGCGACCAAAUUUAAGUUGGCGCUGCGUACGCAGACAACAGGGUAAAUAAUAAUCACCCUACGACGAGUUGUUUGACCACUCUGGUCUUCAACAUACGUAUAUAACCUUUAACUCGACUUUAGGCGACACGAAACAGUUUUUGGUACAAGGGCGCUCCUUGGUCCUAAGAAGUGAUUGUAC